GAUGAACGCUAGCGGGAGGCUUAACACAUGCAAGUCGAGGGGCAGCAUGGUGUAGCAAUACACUGAUGGCGACCGGCAGACGGGUGAGUAACGCGUAUGUAACCUACCCUGUACAGGGGGAUAACCCGGAGAAAUUCGGACUAAUAUCCCAUAAUGUUAUAAGAUGGCAUCUGAUUAUAAUUAAAGUUCCGGCGGUACGGGAUGGGCAUGCGCAACAUUAGCUAGUUGGCAGGGUAACGGCCUACCAAGGCUACGAUGUUUAGGGGACCUGAGAGGGUGAUCCCCCACACUGGUACUGAGACACGGACCAGACUCCUACGGGAGGCUG
This 328-nucleotide ribosomal RNA is filed under the name uncultured Bacteroidota bacterium. RNAcentral's name for it is "bacterial SSU rRNA". It matches the Rfam family "Bacterial small subunit ribosomal RNA", at positions 28 to 351 of the family's 1533-position model. The record is from RNAcentral. Lineage: Bacteria; Pseudomonadati; Bacteroidota.